AUUGAACGCUGGCGGCAUGCCUUACACAUGCAAGUCGAACGGCAGCACGGGUGCUUGCACCUGGUGGCGAGUGGCGAACGGGUGAGUAAUACAUCGGAACAUGUCCUGUAGUGGGGGAUAGCCCGGCGAAAGCCGGAUUAAUACCGCAUACGAUCUACGGAUGAAAGCGGGGGACCUUCGGGCCUCGCGCUAUAGGGUUGGCCGAUGGCUGAUUAGCUAGUUGGUGGGGUAAAGGCCUACCAAGGCGACGAUCAGUAGCUGGUCUGAGAGGACGACCAGCCACACUGGGACUGAGACACGGCCCAGACUCCUACGGGAGGCAGCAGUGGGGAAUUUUGGUCAAUGGGCGAAAGCCUGAUCCAGCAAUGCCACGUGUGUGAAGAAGGCCUUCGGGUUGUAAAGCACUUUUGUCCGGAAAGAAAUCCUUGGCCCUAAUACGGUCGGGGGAUGACGGUACCGGAAGAAUAAGCACCGGCUAACUACGUG
RNAcentral lists this ribosomal RNA (486 nucleotides) under uncultured bacterium. RNAcentral's name for it is "partial 16S ribosomal RNA". It matches the Rfam family "Bacterial small subunit ribosomal RNA", at positions 30 to 507 of the family's 1533-position model. The record is from RNAcentral.